GAGGGUAUAGCUCAGUGGUAGAGUACAUGGUUAGCAUGCCCAAGGUCCUGGGUUCAAUUCCCAGUACCUCCU
RNAcentral lists this transfer RNA (72 nucleotides) under Camelus bactrianus (Bactrian camel). It matches the Rfam family "tRNA". Rfam says of the family: Transfer RNA (tRNA) molecules are approximately 80 nucleotides in length. Their secondary structure includes four short double-helical elements and three loops (D, anti-codon, and T loops). Further hydrogen bonds mediate the characteristic L-shaped molecular structure. tRNAs have two regions of fundamental functional importance: the anti-codon, which is responsible for specific mRNA codon recognition, and the 3' end, to which the tRNAs corresponding amino acid is attached (by aminoacyl-tRNA synthetases). tRNAs cope with the degeneracy of the genetic code in two manners: having more than one tRNA (with a specific anti-codon) for a particular amino acid; and 'wobble' base-pairing, i.e. permitting non-standard base-pairing at the 3rd anti-codon position. The record is from Rfam by way of RNAcentral. RNAcentral also lists the same sequence under 2 other names. Lineage: Eukaryota; Metazoa; Chordata; Mammalia; Artiodactyla; Camelidae.